Molecule: unclassified non-coding RNA, 146 nt
Filed under: Stylophora pistillata
Lineage: Eukaryota; Metazoa; Cnidaria; Anthozoa; Scleractinia; Pocilloporidae
Description: uncharacterized LOC111325611, transcript variant X1
Source: RNAcentral
CAGGCCGAGUCAUAUGAAGACUCCCAAAUCCACUUUGCCUUGAAUGAUUAACACUAAAUCUUAAACAGAGUUUCAAAAAGCUUUUCGUCAUACGAAUUCUUCAUCAUUUACUCAAAGCCCUCGCGGAUUGUCUUUAUCAGGACACA